Bos taurus (domestic cattle) is the source of this 54-nucleotide microRNA precursor. The record is from Ensembl. NCBI's taxonomy places the organism in Eukaryota, Metazoa, Chordata, Mammalia, Artiodactyla, Bovidae.
CUCCUCCCGCCCCCCCGCGGCUGGAGAGUGGACGCAGUGGGGGGUGGGGUGGGC